RNAcentral lists this ribosomal RNA (449 nucleotides) under uncultured bacterium. RNAcentral's name for it is "partial 16S ribosomal RNA". It matches the Rfam family "Bacterial small subunit ribosomal RNA", at positions 330 to 794 of the family's 1533-position model. The record is from RNAcentral.
ACCAGACUCCUACGGGAGGCAGCAGUGGGGAAUAUUGCACAAUGGGGGGAACCCUGAUGCAGCGACGCCGCGUGGGCGAGGAAGUAUUUCGGUAUGUAAAGCCCUAUCGGCAGGGAAGAAGAAAUGACGGUACCUGAAUAAGAAGCACCGGCUAAAUACGUGCCAGCAGCCGCGGUAAUACGUAUGGGGCAAGCGUUAUCCGGAUUUACUGGGCGUAAAGGGAGCGCAGGCGGCGCGCCAAGUCUGAUGUGAAAACCCGGGGCUCAACCCCGGGAAUGCAUUGGAAACUGGCAGGCUGGAGUGCCGGAGAGGUAAGCGGAAUUCCUAGUGUAGCGGUGAAAUGCGUAGAUAUUAGGAGGAACACCAGUGGCGAAGGCGGCUUACUGGACGGCAACUGACGCUGAGGCUCGAAAGCGUGGGGAGCAAACAGGAUUAGAUACCCCAGUACC